UCCUUCUUAGCUCAGUUGGUAGAGCGCGUCACUAGUACUGCGUACAAGAAUGACGAGGUCAGUCGUUCAAGUCGGCUAGAAGGAA
Lentinula boryana is the source of this 85-nucleotide non-coding RNA. The record is from the annotation of a GenBank genome assembly. NCBI's taxonomy places the organism in Eukaryota, Fungi, Basidiomycota, Agaricomycetes, Agaricales, Omphalotaceae.